RNAcentral lists this ribosomal RNA (449 nucleotides) under uncultured bacterium. Its description in RNAcentral is "bacterial SSU rRNA". It matches the Rfam family "Bacterial small subunit ribosomal RNA", at positions 113 to 561 of the family's 1533-position model. The record is from RNAcentral.
ACACGUAUCCAACCUGCCCUUUACUCGGGGAUAGCCUUUCGAAAGAAAGAUUAAUACCCGAUGGCAUAAUGAUUCCGCAUGGUUUCAUUAUUAAAGGAUUCCGGUAAAGGAUGGGGAUGCGUUCCAUUAGGUUGUUGGUGAGGUAACGGCUCACCAAGCCUUCGAUGGAUAGGGGUUCUGAGAGGAAGGUCCCCCACAUUGGAACUGAGACACGGUCCAAACUCCUACGGGAGGCAGCAGUGAGGAAUAUUGGUCAAUGGGCGCUAGCCUGAACCAGCCAAGUAGCGUGAAGGAUGAAGGCUCUAUGGGUCGUAAACUUCUUUUAUAUAAGAAUAAAGUGCAGUAUGUAUACUGGUUUGUAUGUAUUAUAUGAAUAAGGAUCGGCUAACUCCGUGCCAGCAGCCGCGGUAAUACGGAGGAUCCGAGCGUUAUCCGGAUUUAUUGGGUUU